This 484-nucleotide ribosomal RNA is filed under the name uncultured bacterium. Its description in RNAcentral is "partial 16S ribosomal RNA". It matches the Rfam family "Bacterial small subunit ribosomal RNA", at positions 30 to 507 of the family's 1533-position model. The record is from RNAcentral.
AUUGAACGCUGGCGGCAGGCCUAACACAUGCAAGUCGAGCGGAUGAAGGGAGCUUGCUCCUGGAUUCAGCGGCGGACGGGUGAGUAAUGCCUAGGAAUCUGCCUGGUAGUGGGGGAUAACGUCCGGAAACGGGCGCUAAUACCGCAUACGUCCUGAGGGAGAAAGUGGGGGAUCUUCGGACCUCACGCUAUCAGAUGAGCCUAGGUCGGAUUAGCUAGUUGGUGGGGUAAAGGCCUACCAAGGCGACGAUCCGUAACUGGUCUGAGAGGAUGAUCAGUCACACUGGAAAUGAGAGACGGGGCAGACUCCUACGGGAGGCAGAAGAGGGGAAAAUUGGAGAAAGGGCGAAAGAGUGAGACAGAGAUGCGGCGUGUGUGAAGAAGGUCUUCGGAUUGUAAAGCACUUUAAGUUGGGAGGAAGGGCAGUAAGUUAAUACCUUGCUGUUUUGACGUUACCAACAGAAUAAGCACCGGCUAACUUCGUG